Molecule: ribosomal RNA, 810 nt
Filed under: uncultured bacterium
Lineage: Bacteria
Description: bacterial SSU rRNA
Rfam family: Bacterial small subunit ribosomal RNA
Source: RNAcentral
CUCUUCGGGGAUGAUUAAACCGGCGCACGGGUGAGUAACACGUGAGUGACCUGCCUUUUAGACUGGAACAACUUACCGAAAGGUGAGCUAAUGCCGGAUGAGUUAUAUAAGUGCAUGUUUAUAUAGGAAAAGUUGGGGAGACCUGACGCUGAAAGAUGGACUCGCGUCCCAUUAGCUAGUUGGUAGGGUAAUGGCCUACCAAGGCGACGAUGGGUAGCCGGCCUGAGAGGGUGGCCGGCCACACUGGGACUGAGACACGGCCCAGACUCCUACGGGAGGCAGCAGUGGGGAAUUUUGCGCAAUGCUCGUAAGAGUGACGCAGCGACGCCGCGUGAAUGACGAAGGCCUUCGGGUCGUAAAGCUCUUUCGACAGGGAAGAAAAUGCCUAUAAGUAACUGUGUAUGUAUUGACGGUACCUGUAUAAGCAGCCCCGGCUAACUCCGUGCCAGCAGCCGCGGUAAUACGGAGGGGGCGAGCGUUGUUCGGAGUGACUGGGCGUAAAGAGCACGUAGGCGGUGUUGUAAGUCAUUAGUCAAAGACUAGAGCUCAACUUUAGUAAGGCUAGUGAUACUAUAAUACUAGAGUAUCAGAGAGGAUUGCAGAAUUCCUGGUGUAGCGGUGAAAUGCGUAGAUAUCAGGAGGAAUACCGUUAGCGAAGGCGGCAAUCUGGCUGGAAACUGACGCUGAGGUGCGAAAGCGUGGGUAGCAAACAGGAUUAGAUACCCUGGUAGUCCACGCUGUAAACGAUGGAUGCUAGGUGUUGGGCUUUUAAGUUCAGUGCCGCAGCAAACGCGAUAAGCAUCCCGCCUG